CUACCAUGUGUAACAUACCAUCUCCUUCAUUUGAUGCUUCGGGACUUAAGGGAGGUGCGAAGAGAGCAGUAACCUGAGCUGUGUGAUCUCAGAACAGAAAAGCUUGCCCUGGAAGCUCUGUUUAGUCCUUAAGAGAAAAAGUGGACAUAAGCAGCUGCCUGCUUUGACUGCAAACAGUUGAGGAACUGUCAGGUUUUGAAGGGGAGUUGGAAGGGUAGCUUUCUGGUUUCAUUUUUUCGGCUCCAUAAUGCUUCUGAGGAAAAAAGUACGACCAACUUCUGCCUCAGGGAAAUUAGAGACAUCUUNAGGCAGCAGCCUUCUGAAUGAGCUAAGAGGAUCGGCGGCGACAGCAGAGCCUCUGUUACGACGAGUUCAGACUUCCACCGGAGGCCUCAGGUUGCAAGCUGCAUCUCCGGUUUCCAUUGGCCACUUCUCCGAAGCUCAGCAGGAGGUACCACAGCUUCCAGAAUGGCUGCUGAAGGAGCUGCUGAAAGGGCAACAGAGGAGUCAUUCCAUUGGCCUCAUGGAAAACAUAUUGGAGAGUGAAAAUGUCCAGCUCCGUGCAAACCCUUCUAGAAGUCAGUGGAAAGGGAAGGUAUAAUGCGUUCUCUUGCUGGGCUCUGCAAAACCUUUAAGUUGUUACAUGGUGUGAGAGAUUGGGUAAACAUGUGCAAGCACAAUAUUAUACUGGAGGAGAACCUGUUUGUAACUAGCUUUCCGUUCAGAUUUGGCAGAUGAAAACAGGCCAUGUUCACACAGUAUAUCAGGAUCUAAAAACUACAGAAGUUGCCAGAUGCACACAAAGUUGCAGAAUCACACAGUGCAUUCUAUUGCCUUUCUGUUACCCAGUUGUAUCUUCACACCCUGAGCCCUGCUAGGGUGUCAGUUCCCUCCUUAGCCAAGCUAUUUGCCUCCUAGCCAUUCUCAUUGUCUUGGGAAACACCAUCCGCCAAUAACAGCA
RNAcentral lists this long non-coding RNA (961 nucleotides) under Salvator merianae (Argentine black and white tegu). RNAcentral describes it as "lncRNA (ENSSMRG00000013100.1)". Lineage: Eukaryota; Metazoa; Chordata; Lepidosauria; Squamata; Teiidae. The record is from RNAcentral.